This 253-nucleotide ribosomal RNA is filed under the name uncultured bacterium. Its description in RNAcentral is "partial 16S ribosomal RNA". It matches the Rfam family "Bacterial small subunit ribosomal RNA", at positions 524 to 776 of the family's 1533-position model. The record is from RNAcentral.
GACGAACCGUGCGAACGUUAUUCGGAAUCACUGGGCUUAAAGGGCGCGUAGGCGGGUCGGUAAGUCAGGGGUGAAAUCCCACGGCCCAACCGUGGAAGUGCCUCUGAUACUGCCGGCCUCGAGGGGGAUAGGGGCGUGCGGAACUCAGGGUGGAGCGGUGAAAUGCGUAGAUAUCUGGAGGAACACCGGUGGCGAAGGCGGCAUCCUGGACCGGUAUUGACGCUGAGGCGCGAAAGCCAGGGGAGCAAACGGG